GUUGUAUAGUCAAGUAAUUAAGUGCAUGUGGUGGAUGCCUUGGCAGUCAGAGGCGAUGAAAGACGUGAUAGCCUGCGAAAAGCUCCGGGGAGGCGGCAAAUAUCCUUUGAUCCGGAGAUGUCUGAAUGGGGGAACCCACCUACUUUAAGGUAGGUAUUGCAACAUGAAUACAUAGUGUUGCAAGGCGAACGAGGGGAAGUGAAACAUCUCAGUACCCUUAGGAAAAGAAAUCAAUUGAGAUUCCCUCAGUAGCGGCGAGCGAACGGGGAUCAGCCCAUUAAGUUAUGUGUGUUUUAGUGGAACGCUCUGGGAAGUGCGAACGUAGAGGGUGAUAUUCCCGUACACGAAAGGGCACACAUAAUGAUGACGAGUAGGGCGAGGCACGUGAAACCUUGUCUGAAUAUGGGGGGACCAUCCUCCAAGGCUAAAUACUCCUGACUGACCGAUAGUGAACCAGUACCGUGAGGGAAAGGCGAAAAGAACCCCUGUGAGGGGAGUGAAAUAGAUCCUGAAACCGCAUGCAUACAAGCAGUGGGAGCACCUUCGUGGUGUGACUGCGUACCUUUUGUAUAAUGGGUCAGCGACUUAUAUUCAGUAGCGAGGUUAACCGUAUAGGGGAGCCGUAGAGAAAUCGAGUCUUAAUAGGGCGUUUAGUUGCUGGGUAUAGACCCGAAACCAGGCGAUCUAUCCAUGAGCAGGUUGAAGGUUGGGUAACACUAACUGGAGGACCGAACCCACUGUCGUUGAAAAGCCAGGGGAUGACUUGUGGAUAGGGGUGAAAGGCUAAUCAAGCCUGGUGAUAGCUGGUUCUCCCCGAAAGCUAUUUAGGUAGCGCCUCGGACGAAUACCAUAGGGGGUAGAGCACUGUUUCGGCUAGGGGGUCAUCCCGACUUACCAAACCGAUGCAAACUCCGAAUACCUAUGAGUACUAUCCGGGAGACAGACUGCGGGUGCUAACGUCCGUAGUCAAGAGGAAAACAAUCCAGACCGCCAGCUAAGGCCCCAAAAUCAUAGUUAAGUGGGAAACGAUGUGGGAAGGCAUAGACAGCUAGGAGGUUGGCUUAGAAGCAGCCACCCUUUAAAGAAAGCGUAAUAGCUCACUAGUCGAGUCGGCCUGCGCGGAAGAUGUAACGGGGCUAAAACUAUGUGCCGAAGCUGCGGAUGUAUACUUUGUAUACGUGGUAGGGGAGCGUUCUGUAAGCCGAUGAAGGUGUGUUGAGAAGCAUGCUGGAGGUAUCAGAAGUGCGAAUGCUGACGUGAGUAACGACAAAACGGGUGAAAAACCCGUUCGCCGAAAGACCAAGGGUUCCAGUCCAACGUUAAUCGGGGCUGGGUGAGUCGACCCCUAAGGCGAGGCCGAAAGGCGUAGUCGAUGGGAAAAUGGUUAAUAUUCCAUUACUUCUGUGUAAUGCGAUGAGAGGACGGAGAAGGCUAAAUCAGCCUGGCGUUGGUUGUCCAGGUGAAAGGAUGUAGGCAUGUAUCUUAGGCAAAUCCGGGGUACUCUAUGCUGAGAUCUGAUAGCAAGCUGUACUUGUACAGCGAAGUGGUUGAUGCCAUGCUUCCAGGAAAAGUCUCUAAGCUUCAGUUACACAGGAAUCGUACCCGAAACCGACACAGGUGGUCAGGUCGAGUAGACCAAGGCGCUUGAGAGAACUCUGCUGAAGGAACUAGGCAAAAUGGUACCGUAACUUCGGGAGAAGGUACGCUGUUGUUGGUGAUGGAACUCGCUUCCUGAGCUGACGACAGCCGCAGAAACCAGGCCGCUGCAACUGUUUAUUAAAACAUAGCACUCUGCAAACACGAAAGUGGACGUAUAGGGUGUGAUGCCUGCCCGGUGCUGGAAGGUUAAUUGAUGGGGUUAGCGUAAGCGAAGCUCUUGAUCGAAGCCCCAGUAAACGGCGGCCGUAACUAUAACGGUCCUAAGGUAGCGAAAUUCCUUGUCGGGUAAGUUCCGACCUGCACGAAUGGCAUAAUGAUGGCGGCGCUGUCUCCAGCAGAGGCUCAGUGAAAUCGAAAUCGCUGUGAAGAUGCAGUGUACCCGCGGCUAGACGGAAAGACCCCGUGAACCUUUACUGCAGCUUGACACUGAACUUUGACCUUACUUGUGUAGGAUAGGUGGGAGGCUUUGAAGCUGGAACGCUAGUUCCAGUGGAGCCGUCCUUGAAAUACCACCCUGGUAAUGUUGAGGUUCUAACUCUGUCCCGUGAUCCGGGACGAGGACCGUGUCUGGUGGGUAGUUUGACUGGGGCGGUCUCCUCCUAAAGAGUAACGGAGGAGUACGAAGGUGCGCUCAGCGUGGUCGGAAAUCACGCGUAGAGUAUAAAGGCAAAAGCGCGCUUAACUGCGAGACCCACAAGUCGAGCAGGUACGAAAGUAGGUCUUAGUGAUCCGGUGGUUCUGUAUGGAAGGGCCAUCGCUCAACGGAUAAAAGGUACUCUGGGGAUAACAGGCUGAUACCGCCCAAGAGUUCAUAUCGACGGCGGUGUUUGGCACCUCGAUGUCGGCUCAUCUCAUCCUGGGGCUGAAGCAGGUCCCAAGGGUAUGGCUGUUCGCCAUUUAAAGAGGUACGCGAGCUGGGUUUAGAACGUCGUGAGACAGUUCGGUCCCUAUCUACCGUGGGCGCUGGAAAUUUGAGAGGAUCUGCUCCUAGUACGAGAGGACCAGAGUGGACGAACCUCUGGUGUACCGGUUGUGACGCCAGUCGCAUCGCCGGGUAGCUAUGUUCGGAAGGGAUAACCGCUGAAAGCAUCUAAGCGGGAAGCCUACCUCAAGAUAAGAUUUCCCUAGGACUUUAUGUCCUCUAAAGAGCCGUUCGAGACUAGGACGUUGAUAGGUUGGAUGUGGAAGCAUAGUGAUAUGUGAAGCUGACCAAUACUAAUUGCUCGUGAGGCUUGACUAUACAACACCCAAGCAGUUG
RNAcentral lists this ribosomal RNA (2917 nucleotides) under Acinetobacter baumannii. RNAcentral's name for it is "23S ribosomal RNA". It matches the Rfam family "Bacterial large subunit ribosomal RNA". Lineage: Bacteria; Pseudomonadati; Pseudomonadota; Gammaproteobacteria; Moraxellales; Moraxellaceae. The record is from RNAcentral.